RNAcentral lists this ribosomal RNA (481 nucleotides) under uncultured bacterium. RNAcentral describes it as "bacterial SSU rRNA". It matches the Rfam family "Bacterial small subunit ribosomal RNA", at positions 29 to 507 of the family's 1533-position model. The record is from RNAcentral.
AAUGAACGUUGGCGGCGCGCCUAACACAUGCAAGUCGAGCGAGAAAGCUCCUUCGGGAGCGAGUAAAGCGGCGAACGGUUGAGUAACACGUGAGAAUUUACCCUUCAGUGAAGAAUACCCUCGAGAAAUCGAGGCUAAUGCUGCAUACGUCCCUCCGGGGAGAAAGGUGGCCUCUUUGCUGCCGCUGAAGGAUAAGCUUGCGGCUUAUCAGCUUGUUGGUGAGGUAAAGGCUCACCAAGGCGAUGACGAGUAGCCGGCCUGAGAGGGUGAUCGGCCAGACUGGAACUUAGACACGGUCCAGACUCCUACGGGAGGCAGCAGUGGGGAAUAUUGCGCAAUGGGCGAAAGCCUGACGCAGCGACGCCGCGUGGAGGAUGAAGGCUUUCGAGUCGUAAACUCCUGUUAAGUGGGAAGAAAGCUUCAUGUAUAAUACAUAUGAAGGAUGACGGUACCAUUAGAGAAAGCACCGGCUAAACUCGUG